RNAcentral lists this ribosomal RNA (121 nucleotides) under Distichophyllum collenchymatosum var. collenchymatosum. RNAcentral describes it as "partial 5.8S ribosomal RNA". It matches the Rfam family "5.8S ribosomal RNA", at positions 35 to 154 of the family's 154-position model. From Rfam's summary of the family: 5.8S ribosomal RNA (5.8S rRNA) is a component of the large subunit of the eukaryotic ribosome. It is transcribed by RNA polymerase I as part of the 45S precursor that also contains 18S and 28S rRNA. Functionally, it is thought that 5.8S rRNA may be involved in ribosome translocation. The record is from RNAcentral. Lineage: Eukaryota; Viridiplantae; Streptophyta; Bryopsida; Hookeriales; Daltoniaceae.
GAUGAAGAACGCAGCGAAAUGCGAUACGUAGUGUGAAUUGCAGAAUUCCGCGAAUCAUCGAGUCUUUGAACGCAAGUUGCGCCCGAGGCUUGUCCAAGGGCAUUUCCGCUAGAGCGUCACC